CGUAGGCGGUUUUGUAAGUCGAAUGUGAAAGCCCCGGGCUUAACCUGGGAAUUGCGUUCGAUACUGCGAAACUAGAGUACGGUAGAGGGAAGUGGAAUUCCGGGUGUAGCGGUGAAAUGCGUAGAUAUCCGGAGGAACACCAGUGGCGAAGGCGACUUCCUGGGCCAGUACUGACGCUGAGGUGCGAAAGCGUGGGGAGCAAACA
This 205-nucleotide ribosomal RNA is filed under the name uncultured bacterium. RNAcentral describes it as "partial 16S ribosomal RNA". It matches the Rfam family "Bacterial small subunit ribosomal RNA", at positions 570 to 774 of the family's 1533-position model. The record is from RNAcentral.